Molecule: long non-coding RNA, 222 nt
Filed under: Elaeis guineensis (African oil palm)
Lineage: Eukaryota; Viridiplantae; Streptophyta; Magnoliopsida; Arecales; Arecaceae
Description: long non-coding RNA (EGUI_LNC013332)
Source: RNAcentral
AUUUGGCACUCGAUCGAUCAUUGAAAGUUUUUCGUCUAUUUGAGAGCUUUGAAAAAGGGAAGACUUUUUUUGGCUGACCUUGCGAGAAAUCUAUUCAGAGCCGCAAUUCUUUCGGUUAGGCACUGUACAUCUUUGAUCGUGCCUAGAGGCUUCACUUUUGGAGAGCUUAAAUCUUUUUAGGAUUUGCCUCAAUCCUCUGUUGCGACACCAUGAAGCCCAAAA